CACGUAGUUAGCCGGGGCUUCUUAGUCAGGUACCGUCAUUUUCUUCCCUGCUGAUAGAGCUUUACAUACCGAAAUACUUCAUCGCUCGCGCGGCGUCGCUGCAUCAGGGUUUCCCCCAUUGUGCAAUAUUCCCCACUGCUGCCUCCCGUAGGAGUCUGGGCCGUGUCUCAGUCCCAAUGUGGCCGGUCACCCUCUCAAGUCGGCUACUGAUCGUCGGCUUGGUGAGCCCGUUACCUCACCAACUACCUAAUCAGACGCGGGCCCAUCUUACACCACCGGAGUUUUUACCUCAGAACCAUGCGGUUCCGCGGUCUUAUGCGGUAUUAGCAGUCAUUUCUAACUGUUAUCCCCCUGUGUAAGGCAGGUUGCCCACGCGUUACUCACCCGUCCGCCGCUCAGUCACAAUUAUCUUCAUCCGAAGAUCAAUCAAAGUGCUUCGCUCGACUUGCAUGUGUUAGCACGCCGCAGCGUCAUCCUGAGCAGG
This 484-nucleotide ribosomal RNA is filed under the name uncultured Lachnospiraceae bacterium. RNAcentral's name for it is "partial 16S ribosomal RNA". Lineage: Bacteria; Bacillati; Bacillota; Clostridia; Lachnospirales; Lachnospiraceae. The record is from RNAcentral.